GAGGGUAUAGCUCAGUGGUAGAGCACAUACUUAGUAUGCACCAGGUCCUGAGUUCAAUCCCCAGUACUUCCA
This 72-nucleotide transfer RNA is filed under the name Camelus bactrianus (Bactrian camel). It matches the Rfam family "tRNA". From Rfam's summary of the family: Transfer RNA (tRNA) molecules are approximately 80 nucleotides in length. Lineage: Eukaryota; Metazoa; Chordata; Mammalia; Artiodactyla; Camelidae. RNAcentral also lists the same sequence under 2 other names. The record is from Rfam by way of RNAcentral.